RNAcentral lists this ribosomal RNA (460 nucleotides) under uncultured bacterium. Its description in RNAcentral is "partial 16S ribosomal RNA". It matches the Rfam family "Bacterial small subunit ribosomal RNA", at positions 338 to 795 of the family's 1533-position model. The record is from RNAcentral.
CCUACGGGAGGCAGCAGUGAGGAAUAUUGGUCAAUGGACGAGAGUCUGAACCAGCCACGUAGCGUGAAGGAUGACUGCCCUAUGGGUUGUAAACUUCUUUUAUAUGGGAAUAAAACGUUCCACGUGUGGGAUUUUGUAUGUACCAUAUGAAUAAGGAUCGGCUAACUCCGUGCCAGCAGCCGCGGUAAUACGGAGGAUCCGAUCGUUAUCCGGAUUUAUUGGGUUUAAAGGGAGCGUAUGUGGAUUGUUAAGUCAGUUGUGAAAGUUUGCGGCUCAACCGUACAAUUACAGUUGAAACUGGCAGUCUUGAGUACAGUAGAGGUGGGCGGAAUUCGUGGUGUAGCGGUGAAAUGCUUAGAUAUCACGAAGAACUCCGAUUGCGAAGGCAGUUCACUGGACUGCAACUGACACUGAGGCUCGAAAGUGUGGGUAUCAAACAGGAUUAGAUACCCGAGUAGGC